CCUUUGGAUGUGACCUUUCAGGUGGAGAUGCAGUUAUGUUUUAGUCUCCAGCAACUAACUUAAAGCCUGACACACAGCUUCUCCCCAGGUAAAGGGGUGGUAAGUUCUGGAACCUCAGCCUCCCCCAUAACAAGCCACAGUUCCCUUCUCUGCAGAGCAUGGGAGGCCUUUCUGAGUUGGCCUGACUCUGACACUCAGCAUGCAUGGCUGUUGGGAUGUCAGGGGGCAAGCCUAGCUGGGCUCCCCCUCCCUCAUGAACACUCCCUGUGAAGGAGGCAUUGGGUGGCAGAGAGAGAGAAGGGGCCACCAGCCAGCCCUCCACUACCGUCCAACGGAAGACCAACAGCCCCGGGCCAAAACCCUAUGCCACCUGACACCUCACCAGGAUCUGAGUGUGCACUGUUCCACAUCACCUUGGAACGCUGGAGUCUCAGCUGCCUUCUCUUUGGAAUUUCUGGUGCAGCUCUCUCUGCCCUGCCAUCCACUAGCCGAGCCUUAAACCCAUCUGCACAACAGAAUCUGCCAACGGAAGCUUAAAAAGAUUUCAGAUUCCUUGGACCAUGCCAGAGAACCCCCACUGAGCCUCAAUGUCACCUCCUCUAUGUCAACAUUCAGCCCCUCUGGGCAUUUCCUCCUCUGUGGCCCACUUUGCUUGUCUCCUGACAGCUUCUGCUCCUCGACUGUAAGUUUCUUGAGAGCAGGGUCUUUAUC
Bos taurus (domestic cattle) is the source of this 711-nucleotide long non-coding RNA. Lineage: Eukaryota; Metazoa; Chordata; Mammalia; Artiodactyla; Bovidae. The record is from Ensembl.